This 1574-nucleotide long non-coding RNA is filed under the name Salmo salar (Atlantic salmon). Its description in RNAcentral is "lncRNA (ENSSSAG00000072355.2)". The record is from RNAcentral. Lineage: Eukaryota; Metazoa; Chordata; Actinopteri; Salmoniformes; Salmonidae.
UUGGUCUCCCUCUCCUGGCCCUGUGCCUGCUCCCUCUGCCAUCCCUGUGUGCGCGUUUGGGAACCGCAGUCUGUGUGGAAUCCAGCUGGUCGAAGCUCUGCUGUUGGUCUGUGGAGGGAAGGGGCUGUUCUACCAGCAUGGGAGACGGGUCAGAGAGGACAACAUAGACAAAGACUCCAGCGAAGAGGAAACAGAGAAGGAUGAAGAAAGGAGUAGGGCGAGGUUGAGGUGUUACCAAGGUGAUAGGGAGAACCCAGAUGACGAGCCUAGCGAACUGGGAGCUGGCCUUACUGCAACCCCCGAAACACUUUCCUGCCUGGUCUCUCUUCACUGCUCUCCACAGCAUCUCCUCGACAGUUCUGACCUUGAAGUGGAGUUGACAGCUGAGGUGUGAGUGGAACGCUCGUCACUGCUCAGUAUCCUGUCCACUGUCACCCCUGGUGUAGGCAGCAGGAAGACGGGGUUGCUCUUUGAUCCCCGGCCCUCAGUAUCCCUCCUCCACCCACAACCCCAGGCUCCAGGGAGUUCUGGACUACAGCUUACCCCAGGCCCAGCUCCCAUCCUGGCCAUGGACUUAACUCAAAUCCCAGGCCUUAAAGGGAUGCCUGCUGUCCCUCCUCCUCACGGGAUCACAGAGACUGCCAAGAGCCCCCUGCCCUCCUCCACAUCUUCCUCCUCUCCCGCCUCCCCACCUUCCUCUUCAUCCUCCUCUCCUGGUGCCGUGGCAACCAGCUACCACAACGAUAUCCAGGAGGGAAGGGCCAACAGCAUGAUGAUGGGUGACGUGGUGUCCUCCACUUCCGCCUCCCUGGCUCCCCCCUCCUCUCACUCUGACCCCUCUUUCUCCUCCUCAGAUCCCUUGUUAUGCCUCUCACCCCUUGUGGGCACCGACGGACAAAAAGAGCUUGAGACGGAGAUCUACGACCCAUUUCACCCCACGGAAGGAGAGAGGGAGGAAGGAGCGCCGGAGGAGGAAGGGGAAAAGUACGACCCCUUUGAUCCGACCGGCUCUCCCCCCUCAGAGAGAGAGGAAGAGGAGCGAGAGACGGGGGGAGGGAGGGAGAGAGGGGAUAGCGUGAGCAGCAAGGAGAGCGAUGCCAGAGGGAAGAGAAGGAAGGCAGAGACUGGGAGGACAGGAGGAGAGGAGAAAGACAAUGCUCCUCCAGACUCCACGGACGCUCUCUCUGUUCCCCCGCUCUCACCGCGCUCCCUCCCUCUCCCCCUUCGGAGGAGGCUGGACCGAACCAAAGAGCCCCGGGUGAAAGUACGGGACAGGAGAGAGAAGGCGAACCACUCGGACCACUCUGAGAUUGAGGAGGGUGAGAUCGUUGGGGCCACCGAGAGGGACGGAGGAAAGAGGGAGGAGAGAGGCCGGGAAGGAGUCCUUCCUCUCGUCCUCCCCAUCUCCUCUGGCAGUCCUUUCCUCCACAGGGGAGCCAAGCCGGAGAGGAUCCUGAGGGUGUUGGACGGGGAUAGCUUUGUGUCGGUGCGGGCUGAGGGGGACUGGGCGGGGCCGGUGAUGCCUGGCAGGGAGGAUGGGGAGCCCAUGGAGGAGGAGGAGGAGGAAGAAGAAG